RNAcentral lists this ribosomal RNA (119 nucleotides) under Mus caroli (Ryukyu mouse). The record is from RNAcentral. Lineage: Eukaryota; Metazoa; Chordata; Mammalia; Rodentia; Muridae.
GCCUACGGCCAUACCACCAUGAAGGCACCCGGUCUCAUCUGAUCUAGGAAGUUAAGCAGGGUUGGGCCUGGUUAUUACUUGGAUGGGAGACCGCCUGGGAAUACCAGGUGCUGUAGGCU